GGGGCAUCGUCCAACGGUCAGGACCCUGGUUUUUGGUACCAGUUAUGGGGGUUCGAAUCCCUCUGCCCCCGCCA
This 74-nucleotide transfer RNA is filed under the name Granulimonas faecalis. RNAcentral's name for it is "tRNA-Gln". It matches the Rfam family "tRNA". Rfam says of the family: Transfer RNA (tRNA) molecules are approximately 80 nucleotides in length. Their secondary structure includes four short double-helical elements and three loops (D, anti-codon, and T loops). The record is from RNAcentral. Lineage: Bacteria; Bacillati; Actinomycetota; Coriobacteriia; Coriobacteriales; Kribbibacteriaceae.